UACGUAGGGUGCAAGCGUUGUCCGGAAUUAUUGGGCGUAAAGAGCUCGUAGGCGGUUUGUCGCGUCUGCUGUGAAAACUCGGGGCUUAACCCCGGGCCUGCAGUGGGUACGGGCAGACUAGAGUGCGGUAGGGGAGACUGGAAUUCCUGGUGUAGCGGUGAAAUGCGCAGAUAUCAGGAGGAACACCGAUGGCGAAGGCAGGUCACUGGGCCGCAACUGACGCUGAGGAGCGAAAGCAUGGGGAGCGAACAGG
Molecule: ribosomal RNA, 253 nt
Filed under: uncultured bacterium
Lineage: Bacteria
Description: partial 16S ribosomal RNA
Rfam family: Bacterial small subunit ribosomal RNA
Source: RNAcentral